CAGUCGCCGCGGGAAUACGUAGGGUGCGAGCGUUAAUCGGAAUUACUGGGCGUAAAGCGUGCGCAGGCGGUUCGUUAAGACAGAUGUGAAAUCCCCGGGCUUAACCUGGGAACUGCAUUUGUGACUGGCGAGCUAGAGUAUGGCAGAGGGGGGUAGAAUUCCACGUGUAGCAGUGAAAUGCGUAGAGAUGUGGAGGAAUACCGAUGGCGAAGGCGGCUCACCGGCUCAUACUGGACGCUGAGGUGCGAAAGCGUGGGGAGCAAACAGGAUUAGAUACCCCAGUAGUCCCUGUCUCUUAUAU
RNAcentral lists this ribosomal RNA (301 nucleotides) under uncultured bacterium. RNAcentral's name for it is "partial 16S ribosomal RNA". It matches the Rfam family "Bacterial small subunit ribosomal RNA", at positions 509 to 809 of the family's 1533-position model. The record is from RNAcentral.